RNAcentral lists this transfer RNA (72 nucleotides) under Homolaphlyctis polyrhiza JEL 142. RNAcentral describes it as "tRNA-Gln (TTG) (tRNA-Gln-TTG-1-1)". It matches the Rfam family "tRNA". From Rfam's summary of the family: Transfer RNA (tRNA) molecules are approximately 80 nucleotides in length. Their secondary structure includes four short double-helical elements and three loops (D, anti-codon, and T loops). Further hydrogen bonds mediate the characteristic L-shaped molecular structure. tRNAs have two regions of fundamental functional importance: the anti-codon, which is responsible for specific mRNA codon recognition, and the 3' end, to which the tRNAs corresponding amino acid is attached (by aminoacyl-tRNA synthetases). tRNAs cope with the degeneracy of the genetic code in two manners: having more than one tRNA (with a specific anti-codon) for a particular amino acid; and 'wobble' base-pairing, i.e. permitting non-standard base-pairing at the 3rd anti-codon position. Lineage: Eukaryota; Fungi; Chytridiomycota; Chytridiomycetes; Rhizophydiales. The record is from RNAcentral.
GCUGGUAUAGUGUAGUGGUUAGCACAUUGGACUUUGAAUCCAAUAACCUGAGUUCGACUCUCAGUAUCAGCU